Molecule: ribosomal RNA, 482 nt
Filed under: uncultured bacterium
Lineage: Bacteria
Description: partial 16S ribosomal RNA
Rfam family: Bacterial small subunit ribosomal RNA
Source: RNAcentral
AUUGAACGCUGGCGGCAUGCCUUACACAUGCAAGUCGAACGGUAACAGGUCUUCGGAUGCUGACGAGUGGCGAACGGGUGAGCAAUACAUCGGAACGUGCCCGAUCGUGGGGGAUAACGAGGCGAAAGCUUUGCUAAUACCGCAUACGAUCUACGGAUGAAAGCGGGGGAUCUUCGGACCUCGCGCGGACGGAGCGGCCGAUGGCAGAUUAGGUAGUUGGUGGGAUAAAAGCUUACCAAGCCGACGAUCUGUAGCUGGUCUGAGAGGAUGAUCAGCCACACUGGGACUGAGACACGGCCCAGACUCCUACGGGAGGCAGCAGUGGGGAAUUUUGGACAAAGGGCGAAAGCCUGAUCCAGCCAUGCCGCGUGCAGGAUGAAGGCCUUCGGGUUGUAAACUGCUUUUGUACGGAACGAAAAGCCUCUUUCUAAUAAAGAGGGGUCAUGACGGUACCGUAAGAAUAAGCACCGGCUAACUACGUG